GACGAACGCUGGCGGCGUGCUUAACACAUGCAAGUCGAACGGAAAGGCCCUGCUUUUGUGGGGUGCUCGAGUGGCGAACGGGUGAGUAACACGUGAGUAACCUGCCCUUGACUUUGGGAUAACUUCAGGAAACUGGGGCUAAUACCGGAUAGGAGCUCCUGCUGCAUGGUGGGGGUUGGAAAGUUUCGGCGGUUGGGGAUGGACUCGCGGCUUAUCAGCUUGUUGGUGGGGUAGUGGCUUACCAAGGCUUUGACGGGUAGCCGGCCUGAGAGGGUGACCGGGCAAAAGGGGGCGAGAUAUCGGCCCGAGCCCCAGGGGGGGGGAAGGGGGGGGAAGUUUGAAAGAGGGGGGGGACGCUUGAGGAGGAACCGCGGGGGGGGGGUGGAGGCCUUGGGGUUGGAAACCCUUUUCCGCCGGGGAGGAGGGGGGGGUGAGGGUAGGGGGAAAAGAAGCACCGGCUAACAACGU
Molecule: ribosomal RNA, 468 nt
Filed under: uncultured bacterium
Lineage: Bacteria
Description: partial 16S ribosomal RNA
Rfam family: Bacterial small subunit ribosomal RNA
Source: RNAcentral